RNAcentral lists this ribosomal RNA (432 nucleotides) under uncultured bacterium. Its description in RNAcentral is "partial 16S ribosomal RNA". It matches the Rfam family "Bacterial small subunit ribosomal RNA", at positions 29 to 507 of the family's 1533-position model. The record is from RNAcentral.
AACGAACGCUGGCGCAUGCCUAACACCUGCAAGUCGCACGAGACCUUCGGGUCUAGUGGCGCACGGGUGCGUAACGCGUGGGAACCUGCCCUUAGGUUCGGAAUAACUCCCCGAAAGGGGUGCUAAUACCGGAUAAUGUCUUCGGACCAAAGAUUUAUCGCCUUUGGAUGGGCCCGCGUUGGAUUAGCUAGUUGGUAGGGUAAAAGCCUACCAAGGCGACGAUCCAUAGCUGGUCUGAGAGGAUGAUCAGCCACACUGGGACUGAGACACGGCCCAGACUCCUACGGGAGGCAGCAGUGGGGAAUAUUGGACAAUGGGCGAAAGCCUGAUCCAGCAAUGCCGCGUGAGUGAUGAAGGCCUUAGGGUUGUAAAGCUCUUUUACCCGGGAUGAUAAUGACAGUACCGGGAGAAUAAGCUCCGGCUAACUCCGUG